UUGUACAAUGGGGAUGAAUAAGCUAUCUGCCUCCAAGGGCUACUGUGAGGAUCAUGUGGGAUCAUGCAGGGCCUUCUCAGCAGCCUUCUACCUCUUGGGCCUUGAUCCAGUCUUCUAGGGAAAAAGAUGGAUGAAGGCCCAUGGGAAGAUACAGCCAAGCAGGCACCAGAUGGAAGCACCGGUGGCAGAAUAUUAACUAUCAAUUUCUGGGCAAGAGGAAGAGACAUCUAGUUCCCCUGCGCCCGUGAGAGCCGGGAUCUGGGGAGUCCAGCUUCAGGUUCAUCACAUGAAGGUCCCGAGGCUGAUUGAUGCCGAGCCAGGAUGAGCAGGAAGAUGUCCUGGGAACACUGCACAAGCCUGUGUCCCUCUCUGUGGGUGAAGGUUCUCUACUUUUGCCCUCUCCCCUGGGAUCUCCAUGUUUCUGCCCCUCACUGCCCAAAUAAAGCAGUUUUCACCCCUC
Molecule: long non-coding RNA, 460 nt
Organism: Suricata suricatta (meerkat)
Lineage: Eukaryota; Metazoa; Chordata; Mammalia; Carnivora; Herpestidae
Exons: 4
Source: RefSeq, a predicted model, not a curated record